This 490-nucleotide ribosomal RNA is filed under the name uncultured bacterium. Its description in RNAcentral is "partial 16S ribosomal RNA". It matches the Rfam family "Bacterial small subunit ribosomal RNA", at positions 28 to 507 of the family's 1533-position model. The record is from RNAcentral.
GAUGAACGCUAGCGAUAGGCUUAACACAUGCAAGUCGAGGGGCAGCAUGGUCUUAGCUUGCUAAGGCUGAUGGCGACCGGCGCACGGGUGCGUAACGCGUAUGCAACUUGCCUCACAGAGGGGGAUAACCCGUCGAAAGACGGACUAAUACCGCGUACACUCUAUGUUGGGCAUCCAAUGUAGAGGAAAUGAAAUUCGCUGUGAGAUAGGCAUGCGUCCCAUUAGCUAGUUGGUGAGGUAACGGCUCACCAAGGCGACGAUGGGUAGGGGAACUGAGAGGUUGAACCCCCGCAAUGGAACUGAGGCACGGACCAGACUCGUACGGGGGGCAGCAGUGAGUAAUAUUGGUCAAUGGGCGAGGGCCUGAACCAGCCAAGUCGCGUGAAGGAUGACUGUCUUAUGGAUUGUAAACUUCUUGUAUACGGGAAUAACAAGAGUCACGUGUGGCUCCCUGCAUGUACCGUAUGAAUAAGCAUCGGCUAACUCCGUG